GUGAGUAACCUGCCCUUGACUCUGGGAUAAGCCUGGGAAACUGGGUCUAAUACCGGAUACGACCAUCUGGCGCAUGUCAUGGUGGUGGAAAGCUUUUGUGGUUUUGGAUGGACUCGCGGCCUAUCAGCUUGUUGGUGGGGUAAUGGCCUACCAAGGCGACGACGGGUAGCCGGCCUGAGAGGGUGACCGGCCACACUGGGACUGAGACACGGCCCAGACUCCUACGGGAGGCAGCAGUGGGGAAUAUUGCACAAUGGGCGAAAGCCUGAUGCAGCGACGCCGCGUGAGGGAUGACGGCCUUCGGGUUGUAAACCUCUUUCAGUAGGGAAGAAGCGAAAGUGACGGUACCUGCAGAAGAAGCGCCGGCUAACUACGUGCCAGCAGCCGCGGUAAUACGUAGGGCGCAAGCGUUAUCCGGAAUUAUUGGGCGUAAAGAGCUCGUAGGCGGUUUGUCGCGUCUGCUGUGAAAGACCGGGGCUCAACUCCGGUUCUGCAGUGGGUACGGGCAGACUAGAGUGCAGUAGGGGAGACUGGAAUUCCUGGUGUAGCGGUGAAAUGCGCAGAUAUCAGGAGGAACACCGAUGGCGAAGGCAGGUCUCUGGGCUGUAACUGACGCUGAGGAGCGAAAGCAUGGGGAGCGAACAGGAUUAGAUACCCUGGUAGUCCAUGCCGUAAACGUUGGGCACUAGGUGUGGGGGACAUUCCACGUUUUCCGCGCCGUAGCUAACGCAUUAAGUGCCCCGCCUGGGGAGUACGGCCGCAAGGCUAAAACUCAAAGGAAUUGACGGGGGCCCGCACAAGCGGCGGAGCAUGCGGAUUAAUUCGAUGCAACGCGAAGAACCUUACCAAGGCUUGACAUGAACCGGAAAGACCUGGAAACAGGUGCCCCGCUUGCGGUCGGUUUACAGGUGGUGCAUGGUUGUCGUCAGCUCGUGUCGUGAGAUGUUGGGUUAAGUCCCGCAACGAGCGCAACCCUCGUUCUAUGUUGCCAGCGCGUGAUGGCGGGGACUCAUAGGAGACUGCCGGGGUCAACUCGGAGGAAGGUGGGGACGACGUCAAAUCAUCAUGCCCCUUAUGUCUUGGGCUUCACGCAUGCUACAAUGGCCGGUACAAAGGGUUGCGAUACUGUGAGGUGGAGCUAAUCCCAAAAAGCCGGUCUCAGUUCGGAUUGGGGUCUGCAACUCGACCCCAUGAAGUCGGAGUCGCUAGUAAUCGCAGAUCAGCAACGCUGCGGUGAAUACGUUCCCGGGCCUUGUACACACCGCCCGUCAAGUCACGAAAGUUGGUAACACCCGAAGCCGG
RNAcentral lists this ribosomal RNA (1302 nucleotides) under Paenarthrobacter nitroguajacolicus. RNAcentral describes it as "bacterial SSU rRNA". It matches the Rfam family "Bacterial small subunit ribosomal RNA", at positions 117 to 1430 of the family's 1533-position model. The record is from RNAcentral. Lineage: Bacteria; Bacillati; Actinomycetota; Actinomycetes; Micrococcales; Micrococcaceae.